This 355-nucleotide unclassified non-coding RNA is filed under the name soil metagenome. Its description in RNAcentral is "partial contains 5.8S ribosomal RNA, internal transcribed spacer 2, and large subunit ribosomal RNA". The stretch from base 1 to 120 matches the Rfam family "5.8S ribosomal RNA", at positions 35 to 154 of the family's 154-position model. The record is from RNAcentral.
GAUGAAGAACGCAGCGAAAUGCGAUAAGUAAUGUGAAUUGCAGAAUUCAGUGUAUCAUCGAAUCUUUGAACGCACAUUGCGCCCAUUAGUAUUCUAGUGGGCAUGCCUGUUCGAGCGUCAUUAAGUCCACUUAAGCCCUGCUUAGUGUUGGGAGACUGCUCCAGCGGUGCUACCCUGUAGCUACCCUGCAGCUCCUCAAAGACAGCGGCGGAGUUGUGGUAUCCUCUGAGCUUAGUAACUUGUUCUAGCUUUCGAGUACACCACUUCCCCUGCCGUAAAACCCUUAAUUUUUAAUGGUUGACCUCGGAUCAGGUAGGAAUACCCGCUGAACUUAAGCAUAUCAAUAAGCGGAGGA